RNAcentral lists this long non-coding RNA (2620 nucleotides) under Brassica napus (rape). RNAcentral's name for it is "long non-coding RNA (BNAP_LNC000525)". The record is from RNAcentral. Lineage: Eukaryota; Viridiplantae; Streptophyta; Magnoliopsida; Brassicales; Brassicaceae.
UACCAAAUUCUUUUGAUUAAUAUCUCUUCAAGUUUACAAAAGAAUUCACAACUAAAAUAAUACACAUACAAAUCCUGAAUUAAAAGUUUCAAGUCAUGAGACCAAUAGAUAUUAUUUUAUUGAAUCAAGAUUGAUAGAUUACUCGAUUGAUUGAUAGUUCAGACAAAAUAAUCAUGGAUAAAUAGAGUGUAAUGGAGGAUAUGGCUUCUUCAUAGGAUGCGGAGGUCGUCUGAAACGUGGCCCACCAGGUACGUUGGGACCUGGUUUUGGAUAGUCCAUCAGCUUUUCGAUAUCAUCCUCUUCAAUCUGUAUCACAGUAAAACUUCUAUAAAUUAAUAUUCAAUAAAUUAAUAAUCUUUAUAAAUUAAUAAAUUUCACCGAUUCCAAUUUGGACCAAUUGAAAAUAUAACACAAAUCGAUAAAAUAAUAAGAUAAUAAUUUUUUAGAAAAUUCUAUAUAAAUAUAUGGUCCCACUAAAAUUAUAAAUUAAUAAAAAAAAGAAAGAACCAAAAAAAUUAUCAAAAACCUUUUUGCCUCUUUUUAGACUUUCGAUUUCGACAAAGUGUCAUGAAUUACUUGUUUGAUAGUCCUAAUCCUAGUAUGUAUAUUAAGAAGAAUUCACUUUACCCUUUACAUGUAUACAUAUUUUAUAUAAAUAAGAACAUAUUAUUAUAUUUUUUGUUUUAUAUUUACAAUGUAAUUAUCUUUAUAUUUUUUUAACACUUAAUAUAUAUUUGAAGAAAUUUAGUAAUAUUAUUUCUAAAACCACAUUUAAGUGCUAUGUAUAUAUUAUAUACACUAAAUAAUAUAAUAAAAUUAAUAUAAAUGUCAAAUUUCAAAAAAUAAAACUAAUGUAUAUACACUAAAAUUAAAUAUAUUUUUUAUCUUAAAAUAAAUAUAUCUUAAAAUAAAAAAUAUAAAUAAGAAAACUUCUGUAAAUUAACAUUUCUAUAAAUUAAUAAAAUUUCAAAGUCCCAAUAUUAUUAAUUUAUAGAGUUUCUAUAAUAUUGCGCCACCAAUCAUUUACAUAACUUGAUUUAUUUAAAGAAGGCAAAUAGUUAUUAGGAUUAUUAGUUAUAUAAAAAACAAUGAGAUAAUUUUUUUUUCUUUUUUUUGUUUGUAACUUAAGAUAAUUUUUUCUUUUGGUCCAUGAUUUAACAAAUACAAGAAUAAUGUAAAAAUGGAGCGCCAUAGAAAGUAAUAGCUUGUUAAGUACAAACGAACGAAUAGCAUGAAUUUGAAAGAUGAAGAAAACUGCUCACAAUCUUUUGCCACCUUUUUCGCGAGUUUUGACAAUUAAAUAUGUAAAUUAAACAUUUUUAUUUAUUUUAUUGCUUGUUUUGCUAAAUUAUUUUAUUGUUUACCUUGCCGAAGGAAUAUUGAUCAGUAAGAGCAACUCCAUGGCCAUCCUCAAGCCCUAUAAAAUGCGAGAUGAAAAUAUAAUAUAUGUGUCUUUUUAUAUUAAUACAGGGUAUAUAUUACUGACUCGAUUGGUGAUAUUUUACCACGGUGGCACAACGUACACCAUCUCUUGCAUACCAAUCAAUGAAGCAGUAAAAGAAUUGGUGUAUGAAUGGCAGAACUGUUUUUUUAAUUGAAUUGCUAAUCUAUCUGCUAUUACUAUACGUAAUGCUUGUAACUGUAUAAUCAUCUUGUAUUGCUAUUUCGUACCAUAAUCUUCUAUAGCAGUUUACGUUACUAAUCAUACCUAUUAAUAUAUUGAUUGACAUAACAUUUGUUAUUUAACUUGUGUCUAUACAUGUAAGAAUCAGACAAUAUGCUGAUAUAAGAUCUUCCACUAUUCAUAUAAACCAUUUUGAAGGUUAAAUAAGCUCUUAAAUUAUUUUGUAUAGCAUAGAGAACUGCAUCACUUUAAACUUAGCAACGUACUACAAUUUUGUUUUUGGCAAAAUACUACAAAACAAAAUACUACAAAACAAUAUGCUAGUUGUAUAAAUGUAUUUCUUGCCAAUCUCUCCCAAAUGACGAUUUAAAUUUUUUGAUUUUAAUUAAUUUGAACAUUGAAGAAAAAUCUUAGUAUAAUAUUUAUACCUAUAUUAUUAUUAUAUAUUAAUUGUUCUAUGAUAUUUUUUUUAAUUCUUCUUAGAGUUAUCCAUAAUUGUUAAAAAAAUUUACUUAAUACUAAAUAUACGUACUGAUUUGAAUUUAAUAAUUUGUAUGGAUUUCCAAAAUUAAAAAUUUAUAAAAAUUAAAGAAAAUAAGAAUUUUUGUUGUUGUUUCGAAUAUAUUUAUCAGUUUUAACUGAAUUUUACAUAUUAGAUUUUUUAUUAGAUUUAAAAUCAGUAGAUUUGAUAUAUUUAUUUAUGAAUUCUAUUUAAAUUGUUCAGAUAAAAAAUGAAAUAAAAAUAAAUCGUCUUAAAUUAAAUCUUAAUUAUGUGUUACAUUGUGGUUUUGUUAAUUUAAUUUGUGAUUACCUGAAGAACAAAAUGGUAACAGAAGCAAGAACGAGAUGAAAACCACCAACUUCAUCAUUUUGGAUGGGGGAAUCACUUAUGUGAAAUGGGUUUGAAGAAAAUAAAAUCUGGGGUAGACUUUAUAUGAUAACGCCUAAUCGAUCAAUGGUGAAGUGAAAUAUUUUCUUAUAUGUAGAUGAUUUUGG